GAUGAACGCUAGCGGCAGGCCCAAUACAUGCAAGGCGAAGGGGCAGCAAUGUCACUGUCGUACGGGUGCGUAACGCGUAUGCAACCUACCUAUCACCGGGGGAUAGCCUUUGGAAACAGGGAUUAAUACCGCAUAAUACUAUAGGGUAGCAUUAUUUUAUAGUUAAAGAUUUAUUGGUGAUAGGCGGGCAUGCGUCUGAU
This 200-nucleotide ribosomal RNA is filed under the name uncultured bacterium. RNAcentral's name for it is "partial 16S ribosomal RNA". It matches the Rfam family "Bacterial small subunit ribosomal RNA", at positions 28 to 241 of the family's 1533-position model. The record is from RNAcentral.